GACGAACGCUGGCGGCGUGCCUAAUACAUGCAAGUCGAACGCACAGUUUAUACCGUAGCUUGCUACACCAUAGACUGUGAGUUGCGAACGGGUGAGUAACGCGUAGGUAACCUGCCUGGUAGCGGGGGAUAACUAUUGGAAACGAUAGCUAAUACCGCAUAAUAUUAAUUAUUGCAUGAUAAUUAAUUGAAAGGUGCAAUUGCACCACUACCAGAUGGACCUGCGUUGUAUUAGCUAGUAGGUGAGGUAACGGCUCACCUAGGCGACGAUACAUAGCCGACCUGAGAGGGUGAUCGGCCACACUGGGACUGAGACACGGCCCAGACUCCUACGGGAGGCAGCAGUAGGGAAUCUUCGGCAAUGGACGAAAGUCUGACCGAGCAACGCCGCGUGAGUGAAGAAGGUUUUCGGAUCGUAAAGCUCUGUUGUAAGAGAAGAACGGGCGUGAGAGUGGAAAGUUCACACUGUGACGGUAUCUUACCAGAAAGGGACGGCUAACUACGUG
This 505-nucleotide ribosomal RNA is filed under the name uncultured bacterium. Its description in RNAcentral is "partial 16S ribosomal RNA". It matches the Rfam family "Bacterial small subunit ribosomal RNA", at positions 28 to 507 of the family's 1533-position model. The record is from RNAcentral.